UUGAACGCUGGCGGCAGGCCUAACACAUGCAAGUCGAACGGUAACAGGAAGGAGCUUGCUUCUUUGCUGACGAGUGGCGGACGGGUGAGUAAUGUCUGGGAAACUGCCUGAUGGAGGGGGAUAACUACUGGAAACGGUAGCUAAUACCGCAUAACGUCGCAAGACCAAAGAGGGGGACCUUCGGGCCUCUUGCCAUCGGAUGUGCCCAGAUGGGAUUAGCUAGUAGGUGGGGUAACGGCUCACCUAGGCGACGAUCCCUAGCUGGUCUGAGAGGAUGACCAGCCACACUGGAACUGAGACACGGUCCAGACUCCUACGGGAGGCAGCAGUGGGGAAUAUUGCACAAUGGGCGCAAGCCUGAUGCAGCCAUGCCGCGUGUAUGAAGAAGGCCUUCGGGUUGUAAAGUACUUUCAGCGGGGAGGAAGGGAGUAAAGUUAAUACCUUUGCUCAUUGACGUUACCCGCAGAAGAAGCACCGGCUAACUCCGUG
Molecule: ribosomal RNA, 489 nt
Filed under: uncultured bacterium
Lineage: Bacteria
Description: partial 16S ribosomal RNA
Rfam family: Bacterial small subunit ribosomal RNA
Source: RNAcentral